CCUACGGGAGGCAGCAGUGGGGAAUAUUGGACAAUGGGCGAAAGCCUGAUCCAGCAAUGCCGCGUGAGUGAUGAAGGCCUUCGGGUCGUAAAGCUCUUUUACCAGGGAUGAUAAUGACAGUACCUGGAGAAUAAGCUCCGGCUAACUCCGUGCCAGCAGCCGCGGUAAUACGGAGGGAGCUAGCGUUGUUCGGAAUUACUGGGCGUAAAGAGUACGUAGGCGGUUAUUCAAGUCAGAGGUGAAAGCCCGGGGCUCAACCCCGGAACUGCCUUUGAAACUAGAUAACUAGAGUCUUGGAGAGGUUAGUGGAAUUCCGAGUGUAGAGGUGAAAUUCGUAGAUAUUCGGAAGAACACCAGUGGCGAAGGCGACUAACUGGACAAGUACUGACGCUGAGGUACGAAAGCGUGGGGAGCAAACAGGAUUAGAUACCCUGGUAGUCCACGCCGUAAACGAUGAUAACUAGUUGUUCGGUCACUUGGUGACUGAGUGACGCAGCUAACGCAUUAAGUUAUCCGCCUGGGGAUACGGUCGCAAGNUUAAAACUCAAAGGAAUUGACGGCUGAGAGNGCGAGACGACACGAGGAGAG
This 588-nucleotide ribosomal RNA is filed under the name uncultured bacterium. RNAcentral describes it as "bacterial SSU rRNA". It matches the Rfam family "Bacterial small subunit ribosomal RNA", at positions 338 to 948 of the family's 1533-position model. The record is from RNAcentral.